Molecule: long non-coding RNA, 3828 nt
Organism: Anguilla rostrata (American eel)
Lineage: Eukaryota; Metazoa; Chordata; Actinopteri; Anguilliformes; Anguillidae
Exons: 3
Source: RefSeq, a predicted model, not a curated record
CCGGUUUUGGGAACAACUGGACUGGGGGAGACCUCGGGAUUUGAAUCCGGUGAACCGCCUCAGAAUUUGUCAGGGUCCGCUAUAAACUCGGGACGCUGGUCUUCAAAUCCCUUCGAAUCCACAUGGAUUUCACACUCAAGUCGUGAAGAAGCAGAGGAUGGCAGAAUGUAAAGCAUCUCUGCGUGUGAGCCGGACUGCCAGGCUGUCAGACUCCAUCGCCCCCCCCCCCCCCCCCACUCAAGGUCAGGCCCAGCUCAAGGUCGGGGACGACAACCGCUGACAAGUGACAAGGUGGAGGCGGAGGUUCCCUUUAAUGCGCGGCGAAGCCCCCUGAGACUCGUGUCGCCGUGACGCGAGACAGGUCGCGCGUACCUGUGCAUUCCGGCCCUGGACCACGGAGGAUACGUGUGGCUAAAGCACUAGCCGUCAUCAUACAGCCCACAGUCCUGUUAGCGUCAGUGUCAACUCUGGGCAGCAAGUCAGUGGGACUGUUCGCACCUAUUCUCAACUGAGUAUGCAGUGACCAAAAGAGGAAGCACAACAGCACUCCAACUGUCAUGGGUUCUGUGGGUUCUGCAAUGGAGGCGCAACUGUUUUCCUGGGAUGGUUCGGGGGCACUCAAACCCAAAGAAGGUAAGGUUGGUGUCAGUCCUUAUGCAGUGGUACACAGUUAAAUGUCCAGUGUUAAUUCAACUCUACCAGUGUUGUUUCAACUCUUAACAGAUAACGUUUGAUCCCACAUUCCAGAGUGGGACCAAAUGUUAUCUGUUAAAAGUUGAAUUAACACUGGACAUUUGACUGUGCAUGGGGACCAACCUCACCCCCAUGAUAAAACAGUUCUUUCCUGCAGAGAGGGAGUCUUCCACUGUUGACCGGCCCAUGUAAUAACCACCCAUUAGUGGGGACUGAGAUGAGUUCCCACCCUUCACAGUAAAUACUUUGACAUCAUGAGAUGACUAAACACAGUCCACUAGGAUGAUGUGUUAAAAUCUAAAAAAUAAUAGAUUGAUAAAAGCUAGAAUGAUGCAGAAGUGUAUGUGGUCUCAACAACAGAUGGAUCCACCUCGCUUCCUGCAGACUCAAAAAGAAAAAAAAAAUGACGGAUGCAGUCAUCAGUCAUUUGCCUCCAGCCUGCCAACAUGGAUUCUGUCCAAACUCCGAGAGCCAAUCUCAGCUGUCCGUCACCUUCCUCCAUCACAGACGUCUCCCUCUCGCUUCUGAGAACGCCCACGUUUUUAACCCUUGUUUCCACUGAAACGCAGGGAAUAUUAAUACCAUUUCAGAAGCGCUCUCGUCAUUUAUAAUACAUUCAAACGUUCCCAUAUUCACACAGAGUAUGUGUGUAUUUACAGCAUAUUGUCAGUGUCAUAGAAUAACCUUGUGUCCCCAUUUCUGAGCGUGAUACAUAAACAGAAAGAACAAUCUCCCUGCUGUUCUCAGGUGUGUGGCAAUUUAGAAUGGUUUGGCAGUGCAUGCUGGGUAUCUCGUGCUUUCUCGUUACCAGGGGGGAUUUAAAUGAUUUAGAGUGUGUACACAGCUCAUUUCCAGUACACAGCACAUUAAGAUGACAUUAAACUGAAUACAUAGCAGCACUCCGCAUGAAUAACCGAAAUGUCUCCACGUACCAGUAGAUCUGAUUAACCUGCCGCGCGCGAUCUACCACACCAUUUAUGUGUUCUACCUCGGUGUGUGCAGCAGAGGCACCCUGGCUGAUAUGAAAUAUUAAUAUUAAAUUUAGACAGCAACAACAAAAGCAACAUAAUGGAAAGAGGUUAAUUUCACGGGGAAAAACAGCUUUCUUCUUCUCUUCAGACAACAGCGAACAAACAAAAUACCAACGGUACGGGAUUUGUAAUAUCCAAUCAGGUGGACGUCAUUGAAAGUGCCCAAUGAAAAAGCACAGCCUAUGCGAUGUUUCUUUGUACUAAUUAAGACUUCUCAAUUCAAUGGCAAGGGGAGAGAUGGUGUGUAUUUGUGCUCCUGUAGUACAGUAAGCAGUAUAGCAAACUCGCAAGGAUCACAACAUGUGAGUUGGGUCUUCACAUUAUGGUUACACAAGAGUACACAUAUGAACUAUUAAAAUAAUCCUAGAAGAUGAGUAACCUAUGCUAUUUCAAAGCACAUGUUUUGUUCUCACGUGUUCUCACAUGUAAAACCUGUAGUUCACAUUUAAAAAUGUCACAGAUGUGAAAAUGUGAAGACGCAAAUGAGUCAAUGUGAUCUAUUUUCUUAUCACGUGGACAUUUUCAAAGCCAAGUGCAUGUUACAAAUGUCCAGUUCACAUUGCACAAAUUGCACAUGAUAUUUUUUUUGUACUGUAAGGGCCAUAUCUAACCGUGCAGCUCUAAUGCCAGGGCUGCUUCCUCUCAGUAUUGGUCUCCUUUACUGUGCUCAGCACUCUACAUGGAUCCCUGCGUAAGGUAGGGGAGGAACUGCUGGCAGUGCCCAGACAUCAGCACCUCUCAGCUGGGCUGAGAUUGAUUCAUCACUAAACCCCCCGCUGUGGAACUCUCGUCCAGCAGAGAUGAAUAAUUCUGAACCCCAGCAUGCCCCUCUCUCUGCCUGUGAAGUUUAAAUCUGCACCUGAUUGGCUGACUGAUCGGUGCCUUCCCUCUGUAUUUUUGUUGCUGUUGCCGCUUUUUUUUUUUUGCGGUUCACUGCCCUGGGAACGCUUGACGUGAAGAGCACUACAUCAAAGUGAAAUACUGAUUAAAUUGAUUGAUUUUCUUUGGGUCAGACAGAGGUGCGUUGUCCCUGGCCGACACUGGUGGACAAACAAACGAGGGAGAUGAAGAAUAACUGCACAAGACUACUCUCGGAUGUUUCUACUGGACCAAGCCGAAAUCUACACGGUCCACUUUAUGGGACCAGGGCUCUCAAACUCGCGGAAGGCCGUGGUCUCUGCUUGGUUUUUGUGAUUUCCUUUCAAGCGACCGCCAAAUUAGGCGUUGGAAACAAGACAGGAAGAAAGCUGAGAGGGAAACAGGAAGAGAAGAGAAGAGGUCAGAGGAUGGCUGAACCCAGGGCCGUGUCACCCGGGGUAGCAUUGGGCACCUCUACCAUUUGAUUGGCCACCCCAGGUACCACCCCUAUUUUUCCACCUAAAAUAGCACAUUAUCAUUGGCUAAUAUAACUCCUGAUGAUAGUGUGCCCCCCCUUACUAAGUCUGUGUUAACCUUUGAAUACACUUUUGUAAAAGAAACAUAUAUCUGCCUUGUUUGUGCAGAUAUGCAUGAUGUCCUUUAGUAAGUUUAACACUUUUUAGCUUUUAAGGUUAUGUUUCUAUAGCCAGCUGUUCACAAGGUAGCUAGCAUUAAUGCUAUUAAACAGACCUCGGUAAGGUUCAAAAAGCUAGCUGGUCUUUUCCUAAAUUUGCUUUUUGAUUACAUGGAUCUGACUGGACAUGGCUCAACAUCCAGCUUGUAGUCGAGCAGCGAUUGGUUAUCUGUCAGCUGUGAGUGACGGAACCGCAAAUGUCUGAGAAAAUUUAUAUGCUGGGAAGAAGUACACAUUGCACCACUCUACAGACUGCGCCACAUCUAUCACCCAUUCUCAGUGAUUGUGAGGAGCUGGGUGUCAGGUACAGCACUAGCAGCAGCUCAUUCAUAAUGAAGGGUCACGCAGGUCAAUGGGCUGUUUAGGCAGGCUGCCACUGUAUCGAUUUACGACAUAAUGCCGAACGAGGAUUGCGUUUUUGAUAAUUAAUCACAGUGCAGUUUGCAUUGAUCUUCUGGAUGAAAACAUGAAUGAUGGAUUGGUGGAAAUCCAUUGUAAGGUCAAGUUUUACAUAGUUACUCAUACAUCAUGGUUAUUAUUAUUAUUAUUAUU